This 301-nucleotide ribosomal RNA is filed under the name uncultured bacterium. RNAcentral's name for it is "partial 16S ribosomal RNA". It matches the Rfam family "Bacterial small subunit ribosomal RNA", at positions 509 to 807 of the family's 1533-position model. The record is from RNAcentral.
CAGUUGCCACGGGAAUACGGAGGGAGCUAGCGUUGUUCGGAAUCACUGGGCGUAAAGCGCACGUAGGCGGCUAUUCAAGUCAGGGGUGAAAGCCCGGGGCUCAACCCCGGAACUGCCUUUGAAACUAGAUAGCUUGAAUCUUGGAGAGGCGAGUGGAAUUCCGAGUGUAGAGGUGAAAUUCGUAGAUAUUCGGAAGAACACCAGUGGCGAAGGCAGCUUCUUGGUCCAUUCCUGACGUUCAUACACGAAAGCGUGGGGAGCAAACAGGAUUAGAUACCCCGGUAGUCCCUGUCUCUUAUAC